Molecule: non-coding RNA, 94 nt
Filed under: Modestobacter sp. VKM Ac-2676
Lineage: Bacteria; Bacillati; Actinomycetota; Actinomycetes; Geodermatophilales; Geodermatophilaceae
Also listed under: 1 other name
Description: TPP riboswitch aptamer (THI element)
Rfam family: TPP riboswitch aptamer (THI element)
About the family: Vitamin B(1) in its active form thiamin pyrophosphate (TPP) is an essential coenzyme that is synthesised by coupling of pyrimidine and thiazole moieties in bacteria. The previously detected thiamin-regulatory element, thi box was extended, resulting in a new, highly conserved RNA secondary structure, the THI element, which is widely distributed in eubacteria and also occurs in some archaea.
Source: Rfam by way of RNAcentral
UGGCCUGACACGGGGUGUCCCGCCCGGGACUGAGAGCACACCCGUCGAACCUGCUCCAGUUGGCACUGGCGAAGGGAUGUCACGCGAUGGACGC